GGCUCUGUAGUGAUAAGAAUACUAAAUUGCAAAUUUAGAGGUGUGUUGUAAUGGCAUCAGAGUUU
RNAcentral lists this transfer RNA (65 nucleotides) under Dynomene pilumnoides. Its description in RNAcentral is "tRNA-Cys". Lineage: Eukaryota; Metazoa; Arthropoda; Malacostraca; Decapoda; Dynomenidae. The record is from RNAcentral.